This 584-nucleotide ribosomal RNA is filed under the name uncultured bacterium. RNAcentral describes it as "partial 16S ribosomal RNA". It matches the Rfam family "Bacterial small subunit ribosomal RNA", at positions 355 to 1375 of the family's 1533-position model. The record is from RNAcentral.
UGGGGAAUUUUGGACAAUGGGCGAAAGCCUGAUCCAGCAAUGCCGCGUGUGUGAGGAAGGCCUUCGGGUUGUAAAGCACUUUUGUCCGGAAAGAAAUCCUUGGCUCUAAUACAGUCGGGGGAUGACGGUACCGGAAGAAUAAGCACCGGCUAACUACGUGCCAGCAGCCGCGGUAAUACGUAGGGUGCAAGCGUUAAUCGGAAUUACUGGGCGUAAAGCGUGCGCAGGCGGUUUGCUAAGACCGAUGUGAAAUCCCCGGGCUCAACCUGGGAACUGCAUUGGUGACUGGCAGGCUAGAGUAUGGCAGAGGGGGGUAGAAUUCCACGUGUAGCAGUGAAAUGCGUAGAGAUGUGGAGGAAUACCGAUGGCGAAGGCAGCCCCCUGGGCCAAUACUGACGCUCAUGCACGAAAGCGUGGGGAGCAAACAGGAUUAGAUACCCUGGUAGUCCACGCCCUAAACGAUGUCAACUAGUUGUUGGGGAUUCAUUUCCUUAGUAACGUAGCUAACGCGUGAAGUUGACCGCCUGGGGAGUACGGUCGCAAGAUUAAAACUCAAUGAAUUGACGGGGUCAUAGCUGUUUCCU